This 333-nucleotide long non-coding RNA is filed under the name Elaeis guineensis (African oil palm). RNAcentral's name for it is "long non-coding RNA (EGUI_LNC011085)". Lineage: Eukaryota; Viridiplantae; Streptophyta; Magnoliopsida; Arecales; Arecaceae. The record is from RNAcentral.
CCUCCUCUUUGAUUGAUCCCCUCCUCCUCUAUCAUUGACAUCUCUCUUUCCCCCUCCUCCUUCUCCCUCUUCUCCUUCCUCCUCAUCCACUUCUCCUCCUCCAUACUGGCUCCUUCUAUCUCCAUCCAUUCUUCACCGACAACCUAUCUUUCUCCUUCUCUCUUUACUUCUCACCUACUUCUCCUCCUCAUCCUCCUCCAAGCUCGUCCAUGAGCCCUUUCUCUCCAUCGUAGCUCUUUAACUCCACCUCCAACUAUUCUUCACCAACGACCCCUUUAUCCUCCUCCUCUCCUUUCUCCUCAUCUAUUUCUCCUCAUUCUCCUCCUCCUCCAA